CUUCCGUAGGUGAACCUGCGGAAGGAUCAUUAUUGAAUGAAUGUAGAGUUGGUUGUCGCUGGCCUUUAUUGGCAUGUGCACGCCUUCUCUUUCAUCCACACACACCUGUGCACCUGUGAGACGGAGAGCUUUGCCCUUUUAUUGGGGUGUUUUUCUCCGUCUGCCAAUACAUAAACUCAUAUAAUAAUUUGAAUGUAAUUGAUGUAACGCAUCUAUAAACUAAGUUUCAACAACGGAUCUCUUGGCUCUCGCAUCGAUGAAGAACGCAGCGAAAUGCGAUAAGUAAUGUGAAUUGCAGAAUUCAGUGAAUCAUCGAAUCUUUGAACGCACCUUGCGCUCCUUGGUAUUCCUUGGAGCAUGCCUGUUUGAGUAUCAUGAAAUUAUCAAAACAUUACCUUUUGUUAAUUCAAUUGGUUUUGUUUUGGACUUGGAGGUUUUGCGGAUUCACGUCUGCUCCUCUUAAAAAUAUUAGCUGGAUCUCAGUAAGCUUGGUUCCACUCGGCGUGAUAAGUAUCACUCGCUGAGGACACCCGUAAAAAAGGUGGCCAGGAUUGCAGAUGAACCGCUUCUAAUAGUCUAUUAAAUUGGACAAACAUACUUUAUGAUCUGAUCUCAAAUCAGGUAGGACUACCCGCUGAACUUAAGCAU
Molecule: small RNA, 648 nt
Filed under: Rhizoctonia sp.
Lineage: Eukaryota; Fungi; Basidiomycota; Agaricomycetes; Cantharellales; Ceratobasidiaceae
Description: eukaryotic LSU rRNA
Rfam family: 5.8S ribosomal RNA (bases 222-375)
Source: RNAcentral